Molecule: long non-coding RNA, 914 nt
Filed under: Astyanax mexicanus (Mexican tetra)
Lineage: Eukaryota; Metazoa; Chordata; Actinopteri; Characiformes; Acestrorhamphidae
Description: lncRNA (ENSAMXG00005001666.1)
Source: RNAcentral
CUUAAAGCCUGAAUUCUGUUAUCUCUGAGGUUUGCCAUUGCAUAUCAGAUUUAAUACAGACCCUAAAAAUAUAUGUUCUAGAAAUUCUUUCCUACACAAGGGUUUUUAUGCGUUUCCAAGCCCUACAGCUAUUGCCUCGUCAUUCUAGAGCUAACUGGGUAACUGGGGGAAACCCUGAUGUCAAAGCAAAAACAUCCCAAAGAAAAAAGCUAAGCAAACACUCGCUUUUCAUGUACAGAUUAGAGGUUAAAGUGUUCUAAUGAAACUGCACCUUUAAAUUAGUGAACCUGUGCUUUGUAGUUCUUCCCAAAUGCUCCUCUCCUCCCUGUAAUAAACCCUGUUCCUCUGCUCCUGCGGUUCAGAUUUUAAAGCUCUUCCUGAGCAGAUUUCUGUAUGAUGCAUCAUGGUUGAUCGUCAGGCUCAGAGGGUUUAAUUGAUGAGAUUUUGCUGUAUUUCUCCUGUAAUGAUCUGCUAUGUCCUGCUAUGAUUUUCUCUCAGGUACUCUCCAGGCUCUGAUAACUACGCUCUGGCUUGCUCCAUCGUGAUGGGCCGAUCCCCGCACACUCGCAACUCCCCCAACAACCAAUCAUAUUCCAGCGACUCCAGCUCCAGCUCCACACACUGGCGUCAAAAGUCCGUUCCUGAUGGAUAUAAUGCUAACCGCAGCUCCCCACUGAUUUCUGAGCGGCAGAAUAUGAAAGAUGGUGUGAGGGUUCCACCAACCUGGGCCAGAGUGGUGGAGGGAGAAGGAUCCAGCAGGAGUUCAGAUUCAACAAAAGCAAAGCCAGUCUUGAGCAACGCUGAUCAGCAUAGUGCAGCACUCUACCCCAACAACUCUAAGGUUUGUUGAUUAACUGUUUUAUAUUUACGUUCUUAUAUUAACUAAUAUUAAAUACUCUAUCAACACUGCUCAG